This 260-nucleotide ribosomal RNA is filed under the name uncultured bacterium. RNAcentral's name for it is "partial 16S ribosomal RNA". It matches the Rfam family "Bacterial small subunit ribosomal RNA", at positions 524 to 776 of the family's 1533-position model. The record is from RNAcentral.
AACAGAGGGGGCGAGCAUUAUCUUUGUUGACUGGGCGUAAAGGAUGUGUAGGCGGAAAGUAAAUUCAAUAGCUUGAUCGGAAUGUUUACGUAUUGACGUAACCCUAAUCUCGCAAAAGACUUUCUAUAGAGGUAUGCAAAAGUAAUUUGUAAAAUGGCAUGUGAGUAUUUUCUCAAAAUAUGCUGGGUAGCACCAAAGGCAAAAGCAAAAUUCUAGGCAUAACCUUACGCUGAAACAUGAAGCCGUGGGGCGCAAAAGGG